RNAcentral lists this ribosomal RNA (251 nucleotides) under uncultured bacterium. RNAcentral describes it as "partial 16S ribosomal RNA". It matches the Rfam family "Bacterial small subunit ribosomal RNA", at positions 524 to 774 of the family's 1533-position model. The record is from RNAcentral.
UACGUAGGGGGCAAGCGUUAUCCGGAUUUACUGGGUGUAAAGGGUGCGCAGGUGGCAGGGCAAGUCAGAUGUGAAAGCCCGGGGCUCAACCCCGGUAUUGCAUUUGAAACUGUCCGGCUAGAGUGCAGGAGAGGUAAGCGGAAUUCCUAGUGUAGCGGUGAAAUGCGUAGAUAUUAGGAGGAACACCAGUGGCGAAGGCGGCUUACUGGACUGUAACUGACACUGAGGCACGAAAGCGUGGGGAGCAAACA